Homo sapiens (human) is the source of this 2139-nucleotide non-coding RNA. NCBI's taxonomy places the organism in Eukaryota, Metazoa, Chordata, Mammalia, Primates, Hominidae. The record is from RefSeq and is a predicted model, not a curated record.
UCCCAGGAUUGUUUUCCAAGGACAAUUUACAGUACCCAUUGUUGGCUUUUCCUCUGGGUAAUUAGACACAACAUGGGAGCAAGGGAUCCUCAUUCAUCUUGUCACUGGGUUUUAAUUUUCUUGGUCCUUCAGCUCCCAGCUGCCCUGGCAGAUGUUCUGUCCACAAGUUCCAGGAAGUUCAGCAAUGCUUCUUCUGCACUACUUUCACCCAGAGCUGACAUGGUCUCUGAUAAAACAGCAUGUAAGCAUCUCUGCAGUUGCUGUCCCCAGAGCCCACUUCCUGGAUAUUGCCAGCUGCCUGGACCAACCUUUCCGAAAGAUCAGCCAGGUCACAGUGAGGGUCAAAGGUGAGCCACGGGCCUCAGCAGCUGCUGAGUGGAUGGUGCGUGGGACUCAGGAAGUGACGUUCUCUCCCCGCCCAGCCCCCUUCCUCAGUCUAUUGCUCCGAAUCCUGGACCACACACUGCGUGCUGAGGCUCCAUCGCUGUGCUGGGUGAGGGGUGGAGGACUGUCCAGCUGACAGCCACCCAGGAGGCCUGCCCAGGAGACCCAGCCCAGCCUCUCCUUGGAACCUGAAGAACUCCAGGCAGCUGAUGGGACACUGGGGCCCAGGUCAGCCCCUCCCCUUCCCUGAGGUUGCCUGAGGACGCCUUCACUGUUCUAGAGAAGGAGGCCCUCCCCAUGGCUGGGGACAGUCACAGCAGCUGCAGACAGAUGAUGGGAGGGAGCAUUCUUUCCCUAACCCUAGAGGCGGGCGAGCAUUCACCAAGUGUUGUUGUUAAAGAAAAAAAGAAAGAAAAAGAAACCAGGAUUGUACCUGAGGUCAGGCAGACAGUGCUCAACUCAGCACUGGGAAGAUUGCUAGAAGCCUUGGGCCUAUCUAGGAAGACUGGGCCAACAUGCGAUCCCCUCUGCAAGGUGGAGGCCAUGCACCUGCCUCCUGCUCCUGAGCUCCGGUAUCCUCACUGUGACCCAGGCCCCACUGCAGCAAAGAGACACUGGGAAUUAGCCCUUCUGUCCCCUCCUUGCCAGAAGCAGGAGGCCACUGGAGGCUCCAAGGGCUCUGAAAUGUUGAGAACUUCCCUGCAGGUACCAGCGAAGAGGGCAAGAACACAGCACUACUUCCUUGGAUACUGUUUCCCUCCUCAGAGGGGUUUUCUGAGCUGCCCUGGGUCCUGUGAGGAAGAUCUCCCCUUCCUGUAAAGACACCAGUCCUACUGGAUCAGGGCCCACCCGUGUGACUUCACUUUUACUUGAGUACCUCUCACAGACCCUAACUCCAAAUCAGGUCACUUGCUGAGGUACUGCAUGUGAAGACUUUGACAUUUGAAUUUUGAGGGGGCCACCGUUUAACCUGAACCACCAAGGACAGAGCCAAAGACCCUGGGUGACAGGCCCAGAACAGGACCUGGUGGAGGCUCUUCUUUAGGGGAGAGAGGGAAAUGGGAGCCACCACUGGCAGAGCCUGAAGGCAGGGCAGCCAGAAAGAAGCUGUGGGAGUCCCCACCAUGGAAGACCCUGCCGAGCAUCCUGUGUCUCCUGAAGCAGACCCUGACAUGAGGACUGGGGGCACGUGUUUAUUAAGGGCGAUCCCCGGAAGGAGGAGAUAACCAGGCAGAAGUCCUAGCAGAGUAUGCCCACGCUGGUUAGUGCUGCUGCAAAGAUGAGCCGAAGACCAUGAGAGACCUCCAGGUGGUCCUUCUGGGGAGAAGAAAUGGGUUUUGGCCCCAAAUCCUUCUGCUGCAUUUUUCCCCUAUCCCUGGGAAGCCAUGAGACCUCAAACCUGUGUUCCCAAGGAGGCGAGCUGCUGUUCCCAGGUGAUGAUAUGAUGUGCUUGGGGAAAGUAAGUGGCUGCCAGACAUGGCUGAGAGCUGUUGUCACUGCCGUCAAGUGCAUGUCUCCAAGCCAUAUCACACGGCGUCCCUCGAUGUGAGGCCACAUGGCAAGUGGGCCGUGGAUCUCCCUCUGCCCUUUGCAAGCACGUAAGACAGCAGAUUUUGCAGAUACCUUGUGGCGCAGGGGAAUUUCCUUUGGCCAGGUCUGAAGAAAUAAAGCAGCAGGCACCGAGAACAAAGCCAAGGCUUUCAAAAGACAAGGAGCCAAAAAACUUACUCAAAAUAAAAGUAGUUUUAAAAUGUC